RNAcentral lists this unclassified non-coding RNA (350 nucleotides) under soil metagenome. Its description in RNAcentral is "partial contains 5.8S ribosomal RNA, internal transcribed spacer 2, and large subunit ribosomal RNA". The stretch from base 1 to 120 matches the Rfam family "5.8S ribosomal RNA", at positions 35 to 154 of the family's 154-position model. The record is from RNAcentral.
GAUGAAGAACGUAGCGAAAUGCGAUAAGUAAUGUGAAUUGCAGAAUUCAGUGAAUCAUCGAAUCUUUGAACGCACAUUGCGCCCGCCAGUAUUCUGGCGGGCAUGCCUGUCCGAGCGUCAUUUCAACCCUCGAACCCCUCCGGGGGGUCGGCGUUGGGGAUCGGCCCUUUACGGGGCCGGCCCCGAAAUACAGUGGCGGUCUCGCCGCAGCCCCUCCUGCGCAGUAGUUUGCACACUCGCAUCGGGAGCGCGGCGCGUCCACAGCCGUUAAACACCCCAAACUUCUGAAAUGUUGACCUCGGAUCAGGUAGGAAUACCCGCUGAACUUAAGCAUAUCAAUAAGCGGAGGA